CGGCGAGUGAAGCGGCAACAGCUCAAAUUUGAAAUCUGGCCUCUUUGGGGUCCGAGUUGUAAUUUGUAGAGGAUGUUUCGGGUACCGCCCCGGUCUAAAUUUCUUGGAACAGAAUGUCAAAGAGGGUGAGAAUCCCGUCUUGGACCGGUGGUAGGGCCCAUGUGAAACUCCUUCGACGAGUCGAGUUGUUUGGGAAUGCAGCUCAAAAUGGGUGGUAUAUUUCAUCUAAAGCUAAAUAUUGGCCAGAGACCGAUAGCGCACAAGUAGAGUGAUCGAAAGAUGAAAAGAACUUUGAAAAGAGAGUUAAACAGUAUGUGAAAUUGUUGAAAGGGAAGCGCUUGCAACCAGACUUGAGCGCGGCGGUUCCCCCUUCCUUUUGGUUGGGUUACUCCGUCGUGUCCAGGCCAACAUCGGUUCUGGGGGUCGGUUAAAGGCUUGGGGAAUGUACCUACGUCUUCGGGCGUAGACUUAUAGCCCCGAGUGUCAUGCGACCUCCCGGGACCGAGGAACGCGCUUCGGCUCGGAUGUUGGCGUAAUGGUUGUAAGCGACCCGUCUUGAAACACGGACCAAGGAGUCUAACAUCUAUGCGAGUGUUUGGGUGUCAAACCCGGAACGCGGAAUGAAAGUGAACGGAGGUAGGAAGCUUUGGCUGCACUAUCGACCGAUCCUGAUGUCUUCGGAUGGAUUUGAGUAAGAGCAUAGCUGUUGGGACCCGAAAGAUGGUGAACUAUGCCUGAAUAGGGUGAAGCCAGAGGAAACUCUGGUGGAGGCUCGCAGCGGUUCUGACGUGCAAAUCGAUCGUCAAAUUUGGGUAUAGGGGCGAAAGACUAAUCGAACCAUUAACGACUAAAAAGUUAUAAUGAAAACAAAAUUAUAAGCUACUCGGUGGUUAAGUGUGGCCUCGAAAGAGGUCGCAAGUGCCCGGUUCUGGCGCGACACUAUCAAAUUGCGGGGACUCCCUAAAGCUUCGACGACCGCCUCACCUGUGAAAGCAGGUGUCAGGCACCAGGUUAAUGGCCUCGGGUAUGGUAAAACUGUCGAAGAUGUUUAACAAUGGGUAAUCCGCAGCCAAGUCCUACGGGGGGUGUCACCACCCCCUAUGGAUGCAGUUCACAGACUAAAUGGUAGUGGGCUCCCUACGCGUAGGGGGCUUAAGAUAUAGUCGGUCCCCCAGGGAAACCUGGGCGUAUACGCUAAAUCUAGGUACAGGACAGUCCUCCCCCUCCGGGGGGUGGGAGGUGCCUAGACGGGAACGGUACGGGCACCGGGGGAUAUCCCCCUAGGUGUCGGGUGUUAAACGCUGGUAGCUGGUUCCUGCCGAAGUUUCCCUCAGGAUAGCAGUAACGAAAUCAGUUUUAUGAGGUAAAGCGAAUGAUUAGAGGCCUUGGGGUUGAAACAACCUUAACCUAUUCUCAAACUUUAAAUAUGUAAGAAGUCCUUGUUGCUUAAUUGAACGUGGACAUUUGAAUGUAUCGUUACUAGUGGGCCAUUUUUGGUAAGCAGAACUGGCGAUGCGGGAUGAACCGAACGUGAGGUUAAGGUGCCGGAAUGCACGCUCAUCAGAUACCACAAAAGGUGUCAAUGCAUCUAGACAGCCGGACGGUGGCCAUGGAAGUCGGAAUCCGCUUAGGAGUGUGUAACAACUCACCGGCCGAAUGCAUUGGCCCUGAAAAUGGAUGGCGCUUAAGCGUGUUACCUAUACCUCGCCGUUAGGGUUGACAUGAUACCCUAACGAGUAGGCAGGCGUGGA
RNAcentral lists this ribosomal RNA (1751 nucleotides) under Exophiala sp. DTO 305-D1. Its description in RNAcentral is "partial 28S ribosomal RNA". It matches the Rfam family "Eukaryotic large subunit ribosomal RNA", at positions 87 to 1395 of the family's 3401-position model. The record is from RNAcentral. Lineage: Eukaryota; Fungi; Ascomycota; Eurotiomycetes; Chaetothyriales; Herpotrichiellaceae.